RNAcentral lists this ribosomal RNA (502 nucleotides) under uncultured bacterium. RNAcentral's name for it is "bacterial SSU rRNA". It matches the Rfam family "Bacterial small subunit ribosomal RNA", at positions 355 to 871 of the family's 1533-position model. The record is from RNAcentral.
UAACGAAUCUUCCGCAAUGCCCGCAAGGGUGACGGAGCGACGCCGCGUGUGGGACGAAGUCCUUCGGGAUGUAAACCACUGUCAGGGGCUACCAAGUUCUGAGGGGCCCCAGAGGAAGGCACGGCUAACUCUGUGCUAGCAGCCGCGGUAAGACAGAGGUGCCGAGCGUUAGGCGGAAUCACUGGGCUUAAAGCGUGUGUAGGCGGACCGUUAAGUACCUUGUGAAAUCCCACGGCUCAACCGUGGAACCGCUGGGUAUACUGGCGGUCUUGAGGCACUCAGGGGCUGUCGGAACGAGCGGUGGAGCGGUGAAAUGCGUAGAUAUCGCUUGGAACGCCGGCGGUGAAAACGGCAGCUGGGAGUGUGCUGACGCUGAGACACGAAAGCCAGGGGAGCGAACGGGAUUAGAUACCCCGGUAGUCCUGGCCGUAAACGAUGCCGACUAGGUCGCGGGCGCCCCUGACGGGCGUUCGCGGCCGCAGCAAAAGUGCUAAGUCGGCCG